This 405-nucleotide ribosomal RNA is filed under the name uncultured bacterium. RNAcentral describes it as "partial 16S ribosomal RNA". It matches the Rfam family "Bacterial small subunit ribosomal RNA", at positions 30 to 526 of the family's 1533-position model. The record is from RNAcentral.
AUUGAACGCUAGCGGGAGGCUUUACACAUGCAAGUCGAACGAGUGGCGGACGGGUGAGUAAUAUAUCGGAACGUGCCCAGUAGAGGGGGAUAAAUACUGGAAAGAGUGGCUAAUACCGCAUAAACUAGGAGCUGCCGAGAUGGGAUUAGCUAUUUGGUGGGGUAAAGGCUCACCAAGGCGACGAUCCGUAGCUGGUUUGAGAGGACGACCAGCCACACUGGGACUGAGACACGGCCCAGACUCCUACGGGAGGCAGCAGUGGGGAAUUUUGGACAAUGGGGGCAACCCUGAUGCAGCCAUGCCGCGUGUAUGAGAAGGCCUUCGGGUUGUAAAGUACUUUUAGCAGGGAAGCGGUAUUUGCAGAAUAAGCACCGGCUAACUACGUGCCAGCAGCCGCGGUAAUUC